RNAcentral lists this ribosomal RNA (421 nucleotides) under uncultured bacterium. RNAcentral's name for it is "partial 16S ribosomal RNA". It matches the Rfam family "Bacterial small subunit ribosomal RNA", at positions 360 to 773 of the family's 1533-position model. The record is from RNAcentral.
AAUAUUGGACAAUGGGGGCAACCCUGAUCCAGCUAUGCCGCGUGUGUGAAGAAGGUCUUCGGAUUGUAAAGCACUUUAAGUUGGGAGGAAGGGCUUUAGGUUAAUACCCUGAAGUUUUUCAGUUUCCAACAGACUAAGCCACUGCUAACUCUGUGUCAUCAGCCGCGGUAAUACAGAGGGUGCAAGAGUUAAUCGGAAUUACCGGGCGUAAAGCGCGCGCAAGUGGUUCAGUAAGAUGGGUGUGAAAUCCCCGGGCUUAACCUGGGGACUGCUUUCAUAACUGCUGAGCUAGAGUACGGUAGAGGGUAGUUGAAUUUCCUGUGUAGCGGUGAAAUGCGUAGAUAUAGGAAGGAACACCAGUGGCGAAGGCGACUACCUGGACUGAUACUGACACUGAGGUGCGAAAGCGUGGGGAGCAAAC